AUUGAACGCUGGCGGCAUGCCUCACACAUGCAAGUCGAACGGUAACAGGUUAAGCUGACGAGUGGCGAACGGGUGAGUAAUAUAUCGGAACGUGCCCAGUCGUGGGGGAUAACGUAGCGAAAGCUACGCUAAUACCGCAUACGAUCUACGGAUGAAAGCGGGGGAUCGCAAGACCUCGCGCGAUUGGAGCGGCCGAUAUCAGAUUAGGUUGUUGGUGAGGUAAAGCUCACCAAGCCUGCGAUCUGUAGCUGGUCUGAGAGGACGACCAGCCACACUGGAACUGAGACACGGUCCAGACUCCUACGGGAGGCAGCAGUGGGGAAUUUUGGACAAUGGACGCAAGUCUGAUCCAGCAAUGCCGCGUGCAGGACGAAGGCCUUCGGGUUGUAAACUGCUUUUGUACGGAACGAAACGGUGAGCUCUAAUACAGUUUGCUAAUGACGGUACCGUAAGAAUAAGCACCGGCUAACUACGUGCCAGCCGCCGCGGUAA
RNAcentral lists this ribosomal RNA (492 nucleotides) under uncultured bacterium. Its description in RNAcentral is "partial 16S ribosomal RNA". It matches the Rfam family "Bacterial small subunit ribosomal RNA", at positions 30 to 523 of the family's 1533-position model. The record is from RNAcentral.